Molecule: ribosomal RNA, 427 nt
Filed under: uncultured bacterium
Lineage: Bacteria
Description: bacterial SSU rRNA
Rfam family: Bacterial small subunit ribosomal RNA
Source: RNAcentral
UGAGGAAUAUUGGACAAUGGGCGCAAGCCUGAUCCAGCAAUGCCGCGUGCAGGAUGAAGGCCUUCGGGUUGUAAACUGCUUUUGUACGGAGCGAAAAGGUCUGCCCUAAUACGGUGGGCUCAUGACGGUACCGUAAGAAUAAGCACCGGCUAACUACGUGCCAGCAGCCGCGGUAAUACGUAGGGUGCGAGCGUUAAUCGGAAUUACUGGGCGUAAAGCGUGCGCAGGCGGUUAUAUAAGACAGAUGUGAAAUCCCCGGGCUCAACCUGGGACCUGCAUUCGUGACCGUAUAGCUAGAGUACGGUAGAGGGGGAUGGAAUUCCGCGUGUAGCAGUGAAAUGCGUAGAUAUGCGGAGGAACACCGAUGGCGAAGGCAAUCCCCUGGACCUGUACUGACGCUCAUGCACGAAAGCGUGGGGAGCAAACA